CCUACGGGAGGCAGCAGUAGGGAAUAUUGCUCAAUGGGGGAAACCCUGAUGCAGCAACGCCGCGUGGAGGAUGAAGGUUCUCGGUUUGUAAACCUCUUUUGUUAGGGAAGAUAAUGACGGUAUCUAACGAAUAAGCCACGGCUAACUCCGUGCCAGCAGCCGCGGUAAUACGGAGGGGGCAAGCGUUACCCGGAAUUACUGGGCGUAAAGAGCGCGUAGGCGGGAUGGCAAGUCAGAUGUGAAAUCCUAUGGCUUAACCAUAGAACUGCAUUUUAAACUGGUAGUCUUGAGUAUGGGAGAGGUAGGUGGAAUUCUUGGUGUAGGGGUGAAAUGCGUAGAGAUCAAGAGGAAUACUGAUUGCGAAGGCGGCCCACUAGAACGUAACUGACGCUGAGGCGCGAAAGCGUGGGGAGCAAACAGGAUUAGAUACCCUUGUAGUC
RNAcentral lists this ribosomal RNA (440 nucleotides) under uncultured bacterium. RNAcentral describes it as "partial 16S ribosomal RNA". It matches the Rfam family "Bacterial small subunit ribosomal RNA", at positions 338 to 795 of the family's 1533-position model. The record is from RNAcentral.